UUCCUUGUCGGGUAAGUUCCGACCUGCACGAAUGGUGCAACGAUCUGGACACUGUCUCAACCAUGAGCUCGGUGAAAUUGUAGUAUCGGUGAAGAUGCCGGUUACCCGCAGUGGGACGAAAAGACCCCGUGCACCUUUACUAUAGCUUCGUAUUGACUUCGGUCAAGCAAUGUGUAGGAUAGCUGGGAGACUUUGAAGCUGCAUCGCCAGGUGUGGUGGAGUCAUUGUUGAAAUACCAGCCUUUGCUUGUCUGAAGCCUAACCUUCUUUUGAAGGAACAGUGCGUGGUGGGUAGUUUGACUGGGGCGGUCGCCUCCUAAAAGGUAACGGAGGCGCUCAAAGGUUCCCUCAGAAUGGUUGGAAAUCAUUCAUAGAGUGUAAAGGCAUAAGGGAGCUUGACUGCGAGACCUACAAGUCGAGCAGGGUCGAAAGACGGACUUAGUGAUCCGGUGGUUCCGCAUGGAAGGGCCAUCGCUCAACGGAUAAAAGGUACUCCGGGG
Molecule: ribosomal RNA, 499 nt
Filed under: Prymnesium polylepis
Lineage: Eukaryota; Haptophyta; Prymnesiales; Prymnesiaceae
Description: partial Bacterial large subunit ribosomal RNA
Rfam family: Bacterial large subunit ribosomal RNA
Source: RNAcentral